Long non-coding RNA from Anoplophora glabripennis (Asian longhorned beetle), 1178 nucleotides. RefSeq lists it as uncharacterized. The record is from RefSeq and is a predicted model, not a curated record. Lineage: Eukaryota; Metazoa; Arthropoda; Insecta; Coleoptera; Cerambycidae. The transcript has 4 exons.
UAUCUGGCAAUAAGGCAUAUAACCUCGGACCAAGGUAAGUAUGACUUUUUUGUCCUAUGCUUUUAUUCUUUCUUUGAGUUACAAACAUUUUACCUUUGUUUCUUGUUUCAUAUUUAUGUUCGCUGACUAUUAAUUGACUUUUAUUUUUGUGUUGAUGUAUAGUUAGGAAAUAGAAGAAUAGUUGCCGCAGGUCCAUCAAACACGCUUCAAUAAAAAGAUCAUCCGAAGGAUUACGCAAUAUACUCUUACUUACAUUUCCCCAGGCUACAAUUCCAUAAAUUAGGUGCGAUUGAACCAAUGAAUUAUAAAUAAUUAUCAGAGAAUCAUGGUCAAGUAUAUCCCUUAACACUUUAAACUUAUGAAACAAGAAUCUUACCUUAUUAGAAAUAUAUUUUAUGUGCUUAUCCCAUUUUAGGUGAUUGUCUAAUAUGACACCGAGAUACUUAAAUUCUCUGACCGAAUUGAUUACGAUAUCGUCUGAAAUAGUCAGAAACUGAACAGUGGGUGAGGAACGAACAUCAACAUAAUUAUGUAAAACUCGCGUUUUAUCAUAAUUUACUCUUUUCUUGUGACAGUUUCCCAGUCAUCGUCACUGUAGAAAAUACAUGUAUCGUCUGCGUAUGCUAUAAUAUCUCCCAUAGUGGGCAGACAGAAUAACUCAUUUAUAUAUAAGUUAAACAGUAUAGGACCUAAUACAGAGCCCUGAGGGACUCCAUACGUGAUCCGUUUUAAUUCGCUACGAUAAUUAUUUAUUGCCACAAACUGAUAACGAUGAGUGAGGUAACUCCUGAAAAAGUUUAAUGACACCCCUCUAGCACCCACUCUUUCCAGACAGUUUAACAACAGAUCAUGACUUACAGUGUCAAACGCUUUUGACAAGUCUAUAAAUACACUGAGGGAUUUUUUGUUGUCGUCCAUAGCCGAAUAUAUAUUGGAAGUAAGAUGAAGAAUAGCAUCUUGCGUAGAUACCCCAGCUCUAAAACCAUACUGUCUUGGUGAUAAUACCUGAUGUCUCUCAAGAUCUCGCACAAACUCCAAAGGCUCAGUAGAAGGUGAUCUAUACCCAGCCAAAAUAUUAAUAUUUUUUUGCUGAAACUGAAUCUCGACUAGAAUCAAUUUAUUUCCAUUGGCAAGAGGAAUCAACUUAUGUAAAAAUUCAAUACCAUAUUUUAAGUAUA